AGGAAGGGGACAAUAUUUGAAAUGUAAAUAAAUAAAAUAGCCAAUAAAAAGAGAAAAUAAAUAAAUAGAAUACAUACAUCUGGAAUGAGUGGUGGUAAGAAGAGUAGUUAGAAUAAAGCCCUUCUUUUCAGAUGGCACUACUGAAGAGUUUAAUAAAAUGAGGAAAAGAGGGAGCUGUGAUGACUCUGGGGAAAGGCGCAAACUUCUAAGACUGACCCCUGAAUUUGAUCUCUGAGCUUUUAUUAGUUAAAAGGAAACAACAAACAAACUCCUACAAAUCUUCCACUUACACACACACACACACACACACACACACACACACACACACACACACACACACAGAGUAAAUACACUACCCAAUGAAUACAAAUGCAAGAAAAAGCAGAAAGACCUGAGCUUAAAUUUGAAUAAUAAGUGCACUGGGUUUCAGAAGCAUAGUGCAAAACACGCAUUCAAUAGCUUUAAAAGAAUUAUGUUGAGUUUUGGAUUUAAUACACUUCAUGAAAAAUGUCAUCAAGUGAUUGGAGAUGAUGAAGGUCUUCACUCUAGGUGCAGCACAGGGUACUCCCCUGUAAGCCUGCAAGGUCAUCUUUUAUAUUUCUGCUUUUGGUAGAGAAGGAGUGAGAUUGUCCUUAACGUGGUUUGUUUCCAGUCUGGCAGUUGCUGAGCUCUAAUUUCUGCCUUCACCAUCACAUGCUAUUCUCUUUCCUCUGAGUCUGUUCAUGGUGAGUGUGUGUGUGUGUGUGUGUGUGUGUGUGUGUGUGUGUGUGUGUGUGUGUGUGUGUAGCAUAUGAAGAUUCCUGUGUAUGACUGUGGACAUAUACUCAGUAUCCCAUGAUUGGUCAGAGGACUCUAUGUCCCUAAGGUCAGAGGACCAAGUUCACAUGCAAGUGCUCACAACAUCAAACGCUGUAUCCACCAGGCUGACUCCUGAGAUUUUUUUUUACUAGUUAUUUUAUAUGUUUAUAUUUUAAAUGUUAUCUCCCUUCCCAGUUUCCCCUCCACAAACCCCCUAUCCUCUCUCCCCCCCACCUCUAUGAAGGUGCUCCCCCAUCUUGCUACCCACUCCUGCCUCUCAGACCAGCAUUCCCCUAUCCUGGGUCAUCAAGCCUCCACACAACCAAAGGUCUCCCCUCCCAUUGAUGCCCAAUAAGGCAAUCCUCUGCUACAUAUCAAGCUGGUGCCAUGGGUACUCCCGAGUGCUCUUUGGUUGGUGGAUUAGAGAUUCUUGCAAUUCUCCUACCUCUGUCUUACAUCUCUUUAGGAUUACUGGGAUUACAGGCAUUUAUCUUUAUGUGGGAUCUAGAGUUGGUUGAGUGGUGAUUGUAUUACCAGGUGAACCAUCUCCCCAGGCCACAUACAGCCACUUAUAAUUGACAGUCAAAUUAGAGGAGGGCUUUUCCUCCUUGGUUUGUCUUUCUCUUACUUGUAUCUGCAGUGGUCCUUGUAUAAAGUAGUAGGAUAUCCUUGGUUCCUUAUUUUUCUUUUCUUUCUUUUUCUUAAUUUUAUAUUUUUACCGUUCAGUUGUUACCCACCUUAGCUCCGUUCUUCCAUAGUUAACAUACCUUAUUUUUAUUUUUUUUAACCAUUAGUGUAGCAUGAUUUGGGAGAGAACAUUGUGUUACUGUUGGAAAUAAGUUUUUAAUUUGUCAUAUUUUUACAGGAAUGAAGUGAAAGACCUAAGACUGAGCAGCUGAGCAAAAUCUGGUCUAUUCUUUCAGGCAUUACCUCCUUAGCCUAUGUGAGAUCAAAAGCAAAGUUAUAAAACUGCAAAGUAAACUCUAGUAGUUCAGUAAUCCUUACUGAUGUUCUAGAAUCAUUUGUUUUUGUUAUAUUAAAGGGCAAAAAUAAUUAGUUUAAUUUUAUACACCAUAACUUUGCAAGAAACACUUUAACCUAAAGUUAAACCAUAGAACUGCUUACUUAAAGGAAAUAUUUUAUGUACGCCAGAGGUCAUACUUAAAAAUAAACUAGAUAAUAAUAAAGCAAAUGUAAACUGACAACAGUAUUAAUUAAGCCUGGAAUACGACCUUCUUCAUAAGUUUAUAAUCAUACAUUUAUAUCUUUUAAAAGUUGAUGCCCUAGCGUAGGAGGAUGAUAGAGUGGUGAGGCAGGAGUGGGUGAGUUGGUGGAGAAGCACCCUCAUUGAGGCAAAGUAGA
Molecule: long non-coding RNA, 2160 nt
Filed under: Mus musculus (house mouse)
Lineage: Eukaryota; Metazoa; Chordata; Mammalia; Rodentia; Muridae
Description: long non-coding RNA chr7:94097381-94099541
Source: RNAcentral